Long non-coding RNA from Schistocerca cancellata (South American locust), 780 nucleotides. RefSeq lists it as uncharacterized. The record is from RefSeq and is a predicted model, not a curated record. Lineage: Eukaryota; Metazoa; Arthropoda; Insecta; Orthoptera; Acrididae. The transcript is spliced from 3 exons.
GAAGCUACUACUGGAUGUUUCAUCGGUCUUGUGCUGUCUGCCUUUUCUCGUCCAUAAUAGAGAGACUGAUGUAUCUGUCUGCAUUACCACUAUCUGUAAUACUUUGGAGAAGCAAGAAAUUUGAGCAGAGCAAGCUGGAUGCCGUGACAUUGGCUUCAAAGAAGAAGAGGAAGUAAAUAACUUGAAGUCACAGUCGACACAGAUGUCAGAAGCAAAGCUUUCACAAAGAUUCAGUACCUCUUAAUACACUACAAAAAGAAGUUAUCCAGGCUGGGAAAACAAUUUACAAUAGCCUACCACUCAAUAUAAAAGAGGAAUUGACUGCUCUCACGUUUUCAAGAAGAAAUGGAAACAAUUCAUCAUAAAACAUAUAUAAUAAUUUAAAUGAAUUUAUAGAGCUGUAAGUUUUGUAAAAGACGUAUUACGUUGAAUUAUUUAAUUCGUAUGCUAAUGUAUGUAACAUCGUAUAUCUCGUAUAAAUAUCGUCUGCAGUAUUAUUGUUUUUCUUGAGAACUUGACUGGGAUAUUGUACACUUCGCAUUUGCAUUGGUUGCAGGGUUGUUUGUUUUUCCUCUCUUAUUGUCCAUGUAAUAUUGUAUUAACUGACUUCUGCUACAUUACAAUACAAUAUCUGUACAGAAUGUUUUUUAACAUGACUAAAUAAAAAUAAAUCAAAUACAGUGAUAUCUGUUGAAAAAGGUCCUCAUACUCACGUGUACAACUGGUAUAAUGUUCACCUUAAGAGUCUACAUGACAGUGUCAGUAAAAAGACAUUCCAGA